UCUUAUUUUUUUUCCUCCUUUUUGUUUCUCUUUCAGUUUCUCCUGUUAUUGAUUCCAGAAGAAGAAGAAGAUGCCUGCGACGACAGAGAACAACCACAAUCAGGGAUCGUUCCUGGGGAGAAUAAGCAUCAGAAGGAACCAGGUGAUGUCGAUGUCAAUGGACGGCACCCACGACACGGAGUGCGAGGAGAUGGAGCUAUUUCAGAGACACGUGGCGGAGAGAUUCGCGGAGCUGCUGUCGUGCACGGAUGAGCCGGAGGCAUUCAUGUCCAUCGGGUGGCUGAGGAAGCUUCUAGACGAGUUUCUGUGCUGCGAGGCAGAGUUCAAGGCUGUACUCCUCAUGGGAAGGGACCCAUUCCAGAUCGCCAAGCCACCUCUCGACAAGCUCCUCCCUGAGCUCCUUGACCGCAUCAUCAAGUCUCUCGACGUCUGCAAUGCCGUCUCCCUCGGAAUCGAUUCCCUCAAGAACAUCCAGCGCCUCGCCGAAAUCGUCCUCUCUGCCCUCGACCAGACCCUCAUCGGAGACGGCCAGGUCCGCCGUGCCAAGAAGGCCCUCUCCGCCCUCCUCAGCGCCAUGCUCCACGAGGACAAGGACGGCGGCAUCACCAAGGGCACCGAGCGCAGUCGCUCAUUCGGUCGUCGCGGCAACAAGGACAAGGACCGGUCUGCCGCUUCCCCCUUCCGCUCCCUCUCCUGGACCAUGCCCAAGAACUGGUCUGCCGCCAAGCAAAUUCAUGCCAUGUCAUCCAACCUGGCAGCUCCACGUGGCAACGAGUCGUCCGGCCUUGCCCUCCCUGUUUUCAUAAUGAACACCGUUUUGGUUUUCGUUCUAUGGACAUUGGUUGCAGCACUUCCAUGCCAGGAGAGGAGUGGGCUUGGGACCCACUUCCAGAUGCCUAGGAAUUUGAGCUGGGCCCAGCCUAUCACUGCGCUUCAGGAGAGGAUCUCCGAGGAGUGGAAGAAGAAGGAGAAGAAAGGUACGGUGGGGCUGUUGGAGGAGAUGCAGAAGAUGGAGAAGAUUGCGCAAUGGUUCCUUGAUUUUGCGGACUCAUUCCAGUUCCCUGCCGAGGCUGACAAAUUGGAGGAAGUUAAGGCGCAGGUGGAGGAGUUGGCUGAUAUAUGCCGGAAGAUGGAGGAAGGGUUGGAGCCAUUGCAGAUGCAGAUUAGAGAGGUCUUCCAUAGAGUUGUCAGGACCAGAACUGAGUUCCUUCAUGUGUUGGACCAAGCUGCCAAAUUGAAUAUACCCACUUCCUAAACAACUUCCAUAACUGCACCCUCUUUUUCACUCUCUCUUUUCUUUUUCCCCUUAUUCUUCUUGUUUAAAAGAAUCCCCCUUUGUGAAGAGCACUUUCAGAACCAACAUGGAAAGUUCAACGAGGUUGGUUUCUGUGGGUGGGGGGUUAAUUUAAAAUUCUUUACAAGAUUCAUGGUAUUCUGUUGUGUAAAGGAAAAAGACGAAAAAGAUGUUGCUUCGGGUUGGAAGAAAGACAUGCAUUCAUCUAGAAAUUAAGCAAAAGUUUUCCCCUUAUUAUAUCACUUAUUAACAAGCUUACUUUAACUUAUAUUUUUCUCGUUUAGUUUUACAGUUCCAAAGGAGCUAGUAUUAAUUGUCUAGUACAUCCA
RNA transcript from Arachis duranensis, 1623 nucleotides. It is a transcript of the gene named protein ROH1, with no coding region annotated. Lineage: Eukaryota; Viridiplantae; Streptophyta; Magnoliopsida; Fabales; Fabaceae. The transcript is spliced from 2 exons. The record is from RefSeq and is a predicted model, not a curated record.